Molecule: ribosomal RNA, 337 nt
Filed under: uncultured Bacillota bacterium
Lineage: Bacteria; Bacillati; Bacillota
Description: bacterial SSU rRNA
Rfam family: Bacterial small subunit ribosomal RNA
Source: RNAcentral
GACGAACGCUGGCGGCGUGCCUAAUACAUGCAAGUCGAGCGGACGUUUUUGAAGCUUGCUUCAAAAACGUUAGCGGCGGACGGGUGAGUAACACGUGGGCAACCUGCCUUAUCGACUGGGAUAACUCCGGGAAACCGGGGCUAAUACCGGAUAAUAUCUAGCACCUCCUGGUGCAAGAUUAAAAGAGGGCCUUCGGGCUCUCACGGUGAGAUGGGCCCGCGGCGCAUUAGCUAGUUGGAGAGGUAAUGGCUCCCCAAGGCGACGAUGCGUAGCCGACCUGAGAGGGUGAUCGGCCACACUGGGACUGAGACACGGCCCAGACUCCUACGGGUGGCUG